Molecule: unclassified non-coding RNA, 244 nt
Filed under: plant metagenome
Description: partial contains small subunit ribosomal RNA, internal transcribed spacer 1, and 5.8S ribosomal RNA
Source: RNAcentral
UCUCCGUUGGUGAACCAGCGGAGGGAUCAUUACCGAGUUUACAACUCCCAAACCCAAUGUGAACCAUACCAAACUGUUGCCUCGGCGGGGUCACGCCCCGGGUGCGUCGCAGCCCCGGAACCAGGCGCCCGCCGGAGGGACCAACCAAACUCUUUCUGUAGUCCCCUCGCGGACGUUAUUUUUACAGCUCUGAGCAAAAAUUCAAAAUGAAUCAAAACUUUCGACAACGGAUCUCUUGGUUCUG